RNAcentral lists this ribosomal RNA (419 nucleotides) under bacterium. RNAcentral's name for it is "partial 16S ribosomal RNA". It matches the Rfam family "Bacterial small subunit ribosomal RNA", at positions 355 to 776 of the family's 1533-position model. The record is from RNAcentral.
UGGGGGAUAUUGCACAAUGGGCGAAAGCCUGAUGCAGCGACGCCGCGUGGGGGAUGAAGGCCUUCGGGUUGUAAACUUCUUUUGCUCUGAACAAGGCGCACCAUGGGGUGUGUUGAGUGUAGGGGUUGAUUAGCGCCGGCUAACUACGUGCCAGCAGCCGCGGUAAUACGUAGGGCGCGAGCGUUGUCCGGAAUUAUUGGGCGUAAAGGGCUUGUAGGUGGCUGGUUGCGUCUGUCGUGAAAGCUCAUGGCUUAACUGUGGGUUUGCGGUGGGUACGGGCUGGCUUGAGUGCAGUAGGGGAGGCUGGAAUUCCUGGUGUAGCGGUGGAAUGCGCAGAUAUCAGGAGGAAUACCGGUGGCGAAGGCGGGUCUCUGGGCUGUUACUGACAUUGAGGAGCGAAAGCAUGGGGAGCGAACAGG